This 490-nucleotide ribosomal RNA is filed under the name uncultured bacterium. RNAcentral describes it as "partial 16S ribosomal RNA". It matches the Rfam family "Bacterial small subunit ribosomal RNA", at positions 30 to 507 of the family's 1533-position model. The record is from RNAcentral.
AUUGAACGCUGGCGGCAGGCCUAACACAUGCCAGUCGAACGGUAACAGGAAGAAGCUUGCUUCUUUGCUGACGAGUGGCGGACGGGUGAGUAAUGUCUGGGAAACUGCCUGAUGGAGGGGGAUAACUACUGGAAACGGUAGCUAAUACCGCAUAACGUCGCAAGACCAAAGAGGGGGACCUUCGGGCCUCUUGCCAUCGGAUGUGCCCAGAUGGGAUUAGCUAGUAGGUGGGGUAACGGCUCACCUAGGCGACGAUCCCUAGCUGGUCUGAGAGGAUGACCAGCCACACUGGAACUGAGACACGGUCCAGACUCCUACGGGAGGCAGCAGUGGGGAAUAUUGCACAAUGGGCGCAAGCCUGAUGCAGCCAUGCUGCGUGUAUGAAGAAGGCCUUCGGGUUGUAAAGUACUUUCAGCGGGGAGGAAGGGAGUAAAGUUAAUACCUUUGCUCAUUGACGUUACCCGCAGAAGAAGCACCGGCUAACUCCGUG